GUGGGGAAUCUUGCGCAAUGGGCGAAAGCCUGACGCAGCCAUGCCGCGUGGAUGAUGAAGGUCUUAGGAUUGUAAAAUCCUUUCACCGGUGAAGAUAAUGACUGUAGCCGGAGAAGAAGCCCCGGCUAACUUCGUGCCAGCAGCCGCGGUAAUACGAAGGGGGCUAGCGUUGCUCGGAUUUACUGGGCGUAAAGGGCGCGUAGGCGGACAUUUAAGUCAGGGGUGAAAUCCCGGGGCUCAACCUUGGAAUUGCCUUUGAUACUGGCUGUCCUGAGUUUGGGAGAGGUGAGUGGAACUCCGAGUGUAGAGGUGAAAUUCGUAGAUAUUCGGAAGAACACCAGUGGCGAAGGCGACUCACUGGCCCAAUACUGACGCUGAGGCGCGAAAGCGUGGGGAGCAAACAGGAUUAGAAACCCGGGUAGUCC
Molecule: ribosomal RNA, 425 nt
Filed under: uncultured bacterium
Lineage: Bacteria
Description: partial 16S ribosomal RNA
Rfam family: Bacterial small subunit ribosomal RNA
Source: RNAcentral